CCUACGGGCGGCUGCAGUGAGGAAUAUUGGUCAAUGGGCGUAAGCCUGAACCAGCCAUCCCGCGUGCAGGAAGAAGGCGCUAUGCGUCGUAAACUGCUUUUCCAGGGGAAGAAAACCCGCUACGUGUAGUGGCUUGCCGGUACCCUGGGAAUAAGCAUCGGCUAACUCCGUGCCAGCAGCCGCGGUAAUACGGAGGAUGCGAGCGUUAUCCGGAUUAAUUGGUGUGAAGGCGUAUUUAGGCGGAUGAGGUGAAAACCUUCAGCUUAACUGGAGACUUGCCAUUGAUACUGUUAGUCGUGAGUACGGUCAAGGUAGGCGGAAUGUGUAAUGUAGCGGUGAAAUGCUUAGAUAUUACACAGAACACCGAUUGCGAAGGCAGCUUACUGGGCCAUUACUGACGCUGAUGCACGAAAGCGUGGGGAGCGAACAGGAUUAGAUACCCUUGUAGUC
RNAcentral lists this ribosomal RNA (450 nucleotides) under uncultured bacterium. RNAcentral's name for it is "partial 16S ribosomal RNA". It matches the Rfam family "Bacterial small subunit ribosomal RNA", at positions 338 to 795 of the family's 1533-position model. The record is from RNAcentral.